UCGUAUCGCACAUUUGAGUCGUUCGUUAUCCGCAGGCCAGAUGGAUCGUGCCCAUGAUUGUGCGUGAUAGUGCCAGUGUUAAACCCACGUUCUUGGGGGCCAGUGGAAAAGGGCACGCCGACGCCAUUGAAAAAUCCUCCUGGCAACUAUUUGCAGCGUUUCCGAAUCGGAACAAUCAGCUUGAUUGGGAUUGAUUGGGACACAUGGCCCACUACCUCCGGAUUCGUACUGAAAAUAAGUGGCCUCGCACCUCUGGUAUCACGGAUAGAGACGCAUGCGACACUUUCCCGCUGACGACCGCACUAUAGCCUGCAACGAAACGGGCAUUGGCAACUUGUCAGUGGAACUACAUAUUCAGGCAAUAGAUAUCCGAACCUCAAAAUUAUUAUCCCUUCAGUGCCAGUAGCAUCGUGCACUCGGCGAAUAACGGGUUUCCGCAUCAAUCCGAACCGGUUGGUCAAAAAGGUCGGCGUCAGUGUCUAAUUGACUGUGAGACGGAAAAAUACCCUGAAAGGGGUGUUUUUUAGAUAGCUGCAGUCCGGAUUCGAUUAGCGGUGAGGCUCUGCCAGAAGCGGACCGUAACGAGGCAGUGAUCUCCACGAGAGCAGGAAGGCUGAAACCGGGACAGUCCGGGAAGCGUGGCAUCGACGGGCGGUCAUUCGGUCCUGCGUUUGUGAAAGGAGCCCAACGAGACCAGACGGGAAUUCGAGGCUUGUUCUCGCGCCACGACCACGCGCGGCGAGCGAAAGGCGGACGGACUCUUAAGAUAAAAAAAAUGUUAUCUUGGUUCAAGGAACCACCAUUUGCCAGGGAAAGCAUAGGGACAUAAAAUGUGCGUUUCAAUACACUGAUGUUAAGCUAAAA
Molecule: long non-coding RNA, 864 nt
Organism: Armigeres subalbatus
Lineage: Eukaryota; Metazoa; Arthropoda; Insecta; Diptera; Culicidae
Exons: 3
Source: RefSeq, a predicted model, not a curated record